GAGUUUGAUCUUGGCUCAGGAUGAACGCUAGCGGCAGGCUUAACACAUGCAAGUCGAGGGGUAUAGGUUUUCGGACCUAGAGACCGGCGCACGGGUGCGUAACGCGUAUGCAAUCUACCUUUUACAGAGGGAUAGCCCAGAGAAAUUUGGAUUAAUACCUCAUAGUAUUAUGAUAAGGCAUCUUAUUAUAAUUAAAGUUCCAACGGUAAAAGAUGAGCAUGCGUCCCAUUAGCUAGAUGGUAAGGUAACGGCUUACCAUGGCGACGAUGGGGUAGGGGUCCUGAGAGGGAGAUCCCCCACACUGGUACUGAGACACGGACCAGACUCCUACGGGAGGCAGCAGUGAGGAAUAUUGGUCAAUGGGCGCAAGCCUGAACCAGCCAUGCCGCGUGCAGGAUGACGGUCCUAUGGAUUGUAAACUGCUUUUUGACAGGAAGAAACAGUUCUACGUGUAGAACCUUGACGGUACUGUAAGAAUAAGGAUCGGCUAACUCCGUGCCAG
Molecule: ribosomal RNA, 502 nt
Filed under: uncultured Flavobacterium sp.
Lineage: Bacteria; Pseudomonadati; Bacteroidota; Flavobacteriia; Flavobacteriales; Flavobacteriaceae
Description: bacterial SSU rRNA
Rfam family: Bacterial small subunit ribosomal RNA
Source: RNAcentral